This 429-nucleotide long non-coding RNA is filed under the name Gossypium barbadense (sea-island cotton). Its description in RNAcentral is "long non-coding RNA (GBAR_LNC004982)". The record is from RNAcentral. Lineage: Eukaryota; Viridiplantae; Streptophyta; Magnoliopsida; Malvales; Malvaceae.
UAGCAGUUCACUGCUUGAAAGGAGGAAACCGAAAUUUGUAGCAAGCAAUUGAUCUCAAAGGAUAAAGAGCUACAAAAGUGCAACGACAGCUAGGAGGUUGAAAGGUAGGUUGGCUGCUUACGGUUCUUUCAAUCCCACAUUGAGAAAUAACAUCGUUGGUACUGUGCAGGUGCUUUGUAGAACCUUAAACUUCAGUAAUAUGGAUUGGAAUGCCUACUAGGCUGUUACUAAAGGGGGACUAGUUUUUUAUGCGAUGAACCCUUCGAGGGAAGAGUGGCCCAGCUUCAAGGCCAUGAUGCGCGAUAAAGUAUUGUCACCUCCAGGUACUUCCCAAGUUGAGGGAUCAUUAGUAAAGGGUUAUGAACAGCUUUUAGAGGAUGACAUUGGGGGUUAGACCUAAGUUGAAGACCCAUUUGCUGUGACCAAGCC